RNAcentral lists this ribosomal RNA (488 nucleotides) under uncultured bacterium. RNAcentral describes it as "partial 16S ribosomal RNA". It matches the Rfam family "Bacterial small subunit ribosomal RNA", at positions 28 to 507 of the family's 1533-position model. The record is from RNAcentral.
GACGAACGCUGGCGGCGUGCUUAACACAUGCAAGUCGAACGGAAAGGCCCUGCUUUUGUGGGGUGCUCGAGUGGCGAACGGGUGAGUAACACGUGAGUAACCUGCCCUUGACUUUGGGAUAACUUCAGGAAACUGGGGCUAAUACCGGAUAGGAGCUCCUGCUGCAUGGUGGGGGUUGGAAAGUUUCGGCGGUUGGGGAUGGACUCGCGGCUUAUCAGCUGGUUGGUGGGGUAGUGGCUUACCAAGGCUUUGAAGGGUAGCCGGCCUGAGAGGGUGACCGGCCACACUAGAACUGAGACACGGGCCAGACUCCUGCGUGAGGCAGCAGUGGGCGACCUUCCGCAGUGGGCGGGAGCCUGACGGACCCACGCCGCGUGUGUCAUGACGGUCUUGGGAUCGUAAAACUCUGUUAUUAGGGAAGAACAAAUGUGUACGUAACUAUGCACGUCUUGACGGUACCUAAUCAGAAAGCCACGGCUAACUACGUG